GAAUUGUAAUUUGCAGAGGAUGCUUUGGUAUUUGACAUCUGUCAAAAGUCCUUUGGAACAGGGCGUCACGGAGGGUGAAAAUCCCGUAUUCGUCAGAUUGAUCAAUUCCAUGUAAAGCUCCUUCGAAGAGUCGAGUUGUUUGGGAAUGCAGCUCUAAAAGGGAGGUAAAUUUCUUCCAAAGCUAAAUAUAGGCUAGAGACCGAUAGCGCACAAGUAGAGUGAUCGAAAGAUGAAAAGCACUUUGAAAAGAGAGUUAAACAGCACGUGAAAUUGUUGAAAGGGAAGCCUAUGCAGCCAGAUAUGAUUACAAGGUUCAGCCUUAUGGUGUAUUCCUUGAUAAUCAAGCUAACACCAGUUUGUUUGACAGUUGGAUAAAAGUUCUGGGAAUGUAGCUCUUCGGAGUGUUAUAGCCUGAUUCAAAAUGCAAUUCGUCCAGACUGAGGUCCGCUUAUAGGAUGU
RNAcentral lists this ribosomal RNA (459 nucleotides) under Pseudopyrenula aff. subgregaria MPN288. Its description in RNAcentral is "eukaryotic LSU rRNA". It matches the Rfam family "Eukaryotic large subunit ribosomal RNA", at positions 140 to 608 of the family's 3401-position model. Lineage: Eukaryota; Fungi; Ascomycota; Dothideomycetes; Trypetheliales; Trypetheliaceae. The record is from RNAcentral.